Long non-coding RNA from Daphnia magna, 826 nucleotides. RefSeq lists it as uncharacterized. Lineage: Eukaryota; Metazoa; Arthropoda; Branchiopoda; Diplostraca; Daphniidae. The record is from RefSeq and is a predicted model, not a curated record. The transcript has 5 exons.
AGAUUCUCAGUGAUGGGACGUUUUAUUCUGUGCCUAACUUAUUCUACCAGCUCUUCACGAUCCAUAUCAUGUAUAACGGAAAGUCGUUCCCGAUUGCGUACGUGCUGAUGACGGAGAAAACGUUAGCGCUGUAUGAUUCCGUUAUGCGGAGAAUUUUAAGGUGGUUGAGGCGGAAUGUCCCGGUAAUGGAUUUGCAGUUGAAUUGAUGAUUUCCGAUUACGAAGAGGCCAUUCUUGUAUCCAUGCAACAUGCAUUUCCAACUGGAAGAAGUCGCGGAUGCUGGUUCCACUAUUCACAGGCCAUCUACCGAAGAGCCUGCCAAGAAGGACUUUCGGCUGCAUAUCUUGCUGGGGGGGUCGUCCGUCGCAUAAUUAAGAUGCUGAUUGCCUUAGCUUUGUUGCCUCAAGAAAGAAUCUUCGAAGGGUUUCAAUGUAUUAGAAACACAACGGCAGAUGAUCUUGAACGAGAAACACAGGAGGUCCGUGGUGCUAUCGCUCAGUUGUUUACAUACUGCUCUGAACGAGCCUUGGGAUGCGAUCCAAUAACCACCGUAGAUCCAAUGUUGCAUAAGCGUAUGCGAUGAUGACGAUCGAACAAAAAACCGCGUAGAAUCAUGGAAUAGGUGGUUCAACGCUCGCUGCAAAAUUGCCCAUGGAAACUUUUGGGAUUUCAUAAAAAAAAUUGAGGCUGCUUCAGCCAGAGAUUUUGCUGCUCUUCGUUCUAACCAAGAAAUAGGCCGACAUCGUACGAGGCGACAGAUUGGACAAGAUACUCAGAUCUCGCACAAUACAAGAUUGCUGAGGAAUGGCGAAAUAAAUCUUCAGCG